AUAAAGGUGUUAUGAGAACAUACCAGAACAGGGAAGUUACUUCUUUUCUUUCUCCCUUUAAUUUUAGUUUGUCGGUCAUGAGGGGUGCCGUAAGGAGUUUUUCAGAUUUUGAAAAGAGGAAGGUGUGUCUUCUAGUGCAAAAAUUAGUAAAGAACUCACGAGGUUCUUCAGCUGGAAAUCAAGACAAGGAUCGUAUGAACAGAACAAGCACAAGCACAUAUCCAGCACCAGGAGAUUCUAGUUAUCAAAACAGAUAUUAAAAACAAAGUAAACAUCUAAACAUUAGACAGAAGAACAAAAACAUGACAUCAGAAAGAAUAUUAGAGUUGGAGUUUGUUUCUUAACAUGUAGGAGGCCUUUAUUAAUGAAAGUUUGCAAAAUAGGUAAGCAGACACUCCUUCAGAAGAAGUUUUCUUUAAUUCUCACUUCAAAAGUUUUAUUCCUUUCUCUUUACCAGGUUAUGUAAUAAGUUGUAAAGAAAUUUCUUUUAUAUUCUUUCUUUUUUGGGCCUAUUAACUUUCAGAAGAUGAGCCUAUUGAGAAAAAUCCACAGAAAAGCGGUGUUGUAGUUUUGGAAAUUAGAUUGCAACUUUUCAACCUCUAUGGAGUCUGGACAAGGAAAGCUUCUCAAUGUACAAUUAUUAGGCACCAGAAUGGCGCAUGCACCUAAAUUUUCUGCCAACUGUCAUAGCACUUUGUAGUGACUUCAAUAAAAUGAGGAAGUCACUAACAGCCAUUUAUUUUAAGUGAGGUUCAAACUACUUUCAGGGCUCAGUUGUUUUCACAAGACAUCCUGACUGAAAACAAAUAUUAUGCACUUAAGCCUUAAGCUAGAUGGUCAAAGGCUCAAGGAAUAAUUAAGCUCUACAUAGGCAAAAGGAGACAGGGAAAAAAGGAAAUUUUAAGGGCUUUUAUGUGGCUGGUAAAUGAGGGGAGGAAUAUAAGGUUUUUGUAAUUGCCUCAAGUUUAAAGUCAUGGGAGAUACAAUGGCUGGGCCUCUGACACAAAUGGAAAUACAUGAAAUGGGUAAAUGAGUGAGCUAAAAUACGCCUAUCCAUAUCUAUAUAUCUAUAUCUACAUAUCUAUAUAAAGCUCGGAAUGUGAAAGGUGAUGUGACACCUCCUAUGCCCAGCAAUUAUAUUUAUCUAUUUUCUCCUAUUUUUGACAGUUUUUCAGUUUUAUUCUUUUUUCCUAUUUUUUUACAUUUAUGUGCUUUGAAAAAAAAAACUAAACAGUAGCUCCUUUUAUUUUUUUCUCAACUAACAGUCGCUUAUUUACUUCUCUUAAUAAAUUGUAACCGAAACAUUCUCUCGCUUAUCACGGUUGUCGUAUUUACUGGGAAAAAACGCCUCCAUCUCUUCUCCUUUUUUUUCUUCUGUCUUUGAUUCUCACUUCCCUCAAGUUUUCCUCCUUCUAAAGUGAUUAUCCAAUUGCUAAUAUUUUUCCCUUUACCUAUUGAUGACUAUUGCUGAAAUGUUGAGUUAAUCAACCCAUAUUAUUAUUUUUCAAUGUAGUAAUUCAAGCACUCUGUUUCCAAACUACUAUUAUCAUUAGGAACUGCAGGUAAAAUAUGCUUGCCUGUGAUUAUGUAGUUUAAUUUUUUAUUGUGGCUCCUGUAUAACUUUUAAUUUUGUCUUUCCUUUUCUCUUAGUAAGGAGAUCCAAAAGGCAUUCCUUUGACUCAACCUGUCUCCCAUUAAAGUUCUUUUGAUCAAACCAUGAAAUUUUGGCAAAUUAGGAGACAGACAUAAGAAGAACGAGAAUUAUGCAUAAGUGAUUGGAGGAGGAAGACUGGGGAUUUGACUGGUGAGGAGAGGAGAGUAAGGUAAACGGGAGGGAAGAGCUUUCUCGCCUUUUUGUUUUUAACGAAAUUUUGCUAAAGAGAAAAGACAUGCUGAAUAGGGGGAGAGAAAUAGAAACAGGUAAGAAGAAGAGAAUUAAGGAAAAGUACAACUGAUCACUCUGUUUGCCCAAAAAAUACCGGAUAAACUAGAAAUUACUACUAUAUUUCAGUUUUCUUCAAAAUUUCUGUGUUUGCCCUUGCUGGUUGUGGUUUCUAUUCUAUGAACAUGCUUUUUCCCACAGUUUCAAUGUGAUUUUUCAUAUUAAUUUUGAAUCUAAUGUUAUGUUCUUUGAUUGUGCGGUGGUGAAAUUAUAGGUAAAGAAGAGUAAUCAUUCUGGUUACUCCAUAGAACAGGAAAAUAUCUGCCUAAGGAAAAAGGUGAAGAAGUUUAAGAGACAUCAGAGUGAUAGGAAAAUAUCUGCCUAAGGUAUUGUUCUGUCUUUUUAGCAAUCAUAUUCUUACUUAAACUCCGUUUGAAUCUUUUUGUUCCGUGAUCUUAAAAUCUCAUGAAAUAAAGGUAUUAUUCUGUAAUUAUGAACAAUUCAAUUUUACUUAAAGUUUGAUAUGGAUCUUUUUGUUCAGUAAUAAUAAAAUUUGCAUUUCAUAUGUGUAAAAUUAGGAUAAAAAUUGGUUUACCUUAUUUGUUAUAUAUAACUAUUUGCUACAUUCUUUUGUGUAUGGAAAGGGAAAAAAGUAAACUAGAGAACAGGUCUUGCAACACAAUUGGCUUCUCCGUCAAUAAGCUUUCUGAUACUUUACCUGCUUAAAUCUCUUUUAUUAAAGCUUCCUGGAUGUUCACUUGAUCUGUAUCAUCGUUUGAGCUACUUGUGGGAAUUAGCUGAGACUAUCGACUGCGGUAGGUCCAGAAUUUAGACAUGGCGAGUUUUGAAUAUUGCAGUCUGCCAAACUCAAAGGUGAUCAACAGGUCUGAUGACUGUGCAACAUACAAUAACAGUAGAAGUGGAUGGAAAUAUAACAAAAAUGACAGUACAGCUCAAUAGUAUAUAACAUAAUCACUGAAAAAGAAUGGAAUCUUUUCUUUGGCCUAUUUCUAGGUAAAGUUUCAAUAUCUUGAGAUACUUUUGCUAGCUUCUACUAUCGAUACUUCGAUAGUGAGCCCACUUCCUUAAAAGGGUGACAAACUGCUGCCAUGACGACUGCUGUGGGGAUUGUCUAUUCAAGGCUAAAGAAUCUUACUGCUAUUCCGUAUAUUUUUAGCUCCUAAGCAGUUUUUUCACGGGUCACUAAAAUUGGUUUCUGUCCAUUAGAAACAAACUAACAGAAUAGCUGCAGGGUUUGGAUUUACAAAACUAUGAAGCUGGUUUAGAGCAAAAUAGUUCCUCUAGAUCUUUGAGACAAGCAAAAGUCUCUUAACAUGGUGAGCAAUACCAAGGUGAAAGUCGUCAUCAAAAGGUAAAUUGGGCAGCCAAGAGCAAGACCCUCAUCGGGUGAAAUGUUGAAGGAUCCAUAAUCCUUUUUGAUGUUGUCAAUUAUUAUGAGAAUGAUCUUGCUUAAUAUGGUUUGCCAUCAUACCUAUUUUUUAAAACAUUUUUAUUGAUUUGCCUCGUGCAAGAAGAUAGUACUUGAUAUAUCAUGACUAACCUAUGUUCACUCUUGAUUGGUGAUUGAGAGUAUCAGCUAUGGCAUUAUUAGUUGUCAUUUUAGUCACUGCUUUAUACAGUUCCUGAUUGAUGAUUGGGACUUGAGAAUAUAAAUUGUUUAAUUAAGAAAUAAAAAAGUCAAUAAAAAACAACAAACAUGAAAUAACAAUGGAAAAGAGAUAGGUAACAGAAACGUAAUUUAAUGGAUAGACACUGUGCCUUGCGUUUCCACUUAUUUCUUUUGAUUUGUAUUGUUUUAGUUUUAAAUUUUCUUACAUCUCUUUUCAUCUUCAUGCUAUUUUCGUUACAUCUUCGUGUUUAAAGUUACACAUACACAAGCACACAUUUUUCAUUAAGUGUUUUCAAAGUUAUAUUUUCUCUCUUUUUCCUUUAAUACCGUAUUUUGGAAAUUCAAUGAUAAUUGAUACCCCAAAUACAAAAGUAGAGAAAAAGAAUGAACAUGAAAGAUAAUGCAAAGAUGUUAUAGAAAUACAAAACUAAACCUUGUGUUGAUUUUUUAUUUGUUUAUGACUCUUAUUACUUUAUAAAGUAUGAGAAAAUAAUGAAGCAGGUGAGAAAUAGAAGAA
Molecule: non-coding RNA, 4029 nt
Organism: Nicotiana tabacum (common tobacco)
Lineage: Eukaryota; Viridiplantae; Streptophyta; Magnoliopsida; Solanales; Solanaceae
Source: RefSeq, a predicted model, not a curated record